GCGCUUUUGUCCAAGUUGUCUGAUAUCGGCCCUUUCACGGCGAAAACACGGGUUCGAUUCCCGUAGGGCGCGCCA
RNAcentral lists this transfer RNA (75 nucleotides) under Methylobacterium sp. RNAcentral's name for it is "tRNA-Glu". It matches the Rfam family "tRNA". Rfam says of the family: Transfer RNA (tRNA) molecules are approximately 80 nucleotides in length. The record is from RNAcentral. Lineage: Bacteria; Pseudomonadati; Pseudomonadota; Alphaproteobacteria; Hyphomicrobiales; Methylobacteriaceae. RNAcentral also lists the same sequence under 1 other name.